AUUGAACGCUGGCGGCAUGCCUUACACAUGCAAGUCGAACGGCAGCACGGGAGCGAUCCUGGUGGCGAGUGGCGAACGGGUGAGUAAUGUAUCGGAACGUACCUUUCAGUGGGGGAUAACGUAGCGAAAGUUACGCUAAUACCGCAUAUUCUGUGAGCAGGAAAGCAGGGGAUCGCAAGACCUUGCGCUGAUUGAGCGGCCGAUACCAGAUUAGCUAGUUGGUGAGGUAAAGGCUCACCAAGGCGACGAUCUGUAGCGGGUCUGAGAGGAUGAUCCGCCACACUGGAACUGAGACACGGUCCAGACUCCUACGGGAGGCAGCAGUGGGGAAUUUUGGACAAUGGGCGCAAGCCUGAUCCAGCCAUGCCGCGUGAGUG
RNAcentral lists this ribosomal RNA (377 nucleotides) under uncultured bacterium. RNAcentral describes it as "bacterial SSU rRNA". It matches the Rfam family "Bacterial small subunit ribosomal RNA", at positions 30 to 407 of the family's 1533-position model. The record is from RNAcentral.